GAUGAACGCUGGCGGCGUGCCUAAUACAUGCAAGUCGAGCGAACAGACGAGGAGCUUGCUCCUCUGACGUUAGCGGCGGACGGGUGAGUAACACGUGGAUAACCUACCUAUAAGACUGGGAUAACUUCGGGAAACCGGAGCUAAUACCGGAUAAUAUAUUGAACCGCAUGGUUCAUUAGGGAAAGACGGUUUUGCUGUCACUUAUAGAUGGAUCCGCGCCGCAUUAGCUAGUUGGUAAGGUAACGGCUUACCAAGGCAACGAUGCGUAGCCGACCUGAGAGGGUGAUCGGCCACACUGGAACUGAGACACGGUCCAGACUCCUACGGGAGGCAGCAGUAGGGAAUCUUCCGCAAUGGGCGAAAGCCUGACGGAGCAACGCCGCGUGAGUGAUGAAGGUCUUCGGAUCGUAAAACUCUGUUAUUAGGGAAGAACAAAUGUGUAAGUAACUAUGCACGUCUUGACGGUACCUAAUCAGAAAGCCACGGCUAACUACGUG
Molecule: ribosomal RNA, 497 nt
Filed under: uncultured bacterium
Lineage: Bacteria
Description: partial 16S ribosomal RNA
Rfam family: Bacterial small subunit ribosomal RNA
Source: RNAcentral